This 465-nucleotide ribosomal RNA is filed under the name Vreelandella stevensii. RNAcentral's name for it is "partial 16S ribosomal RNA". It matches the Rfam family "Bacterial small subunit ribosomal RNA", at positions 338 to 795 of the family's 1533-position model. The record is from RNAcentral. Lineage: Bacteria; Pseudomonadati; Pseudomonadota; Gammaproteobacteria; Oceanospirillales; Halomonadaceae.
CCUACGGGGGGCUGCAGUGGGGAAUAUUGGACAAUGGGGGGAACCCUGAUCCAGCCAUGCCGCGUGUGUGAAGAAGGCCCUCGGGUUGUAAAGCACUUUCAGUGAGGAAGAACGCCUGGUGGUUAAUACCCAUCAGGAAAGACAUCACUCACAGAAGAAGCACCGGCUAACUCCGUGCCAGCAGCCGCGGUAAUACGGAGGGUGCGAGCGUUAAUCGGAAUUACUGGGCGUAAAGCGCGCGUAGGUGGCUUGAUAAGCCGGUUGUGAAAGCCCCGGGCUCAACCUGGGAACGGCAUCCGGAACUGUCAAGCUAGAGUGCAGGAGAGGAAGGUAGAAUUCCCGGUGUAGCGGUGAAAUGCGUAGAGAUCGGGAGGAAUACCAGUGGCGAAGGCGGCCUUCUGGACUGACACUGACAUUGAGGUGCGAAAGCGUGGGUAGCAAACAGGAUUAGAUACCCUGGUAGUC